Molecule: long non-coding RNA, 613 nt
Filed under: Olea europaea subsp. europaea
Lineage: Eukaryota; Viridiplantae; Streptophyta; Magnoliopsida; Lamiales; Oleaceae
Source: RNAcentral
AUGUACUUUACAAAUGGAAUUACCCUUUCUCCACAACGGAAAACUAAUGAGAGUCGUAUUGGCAAAGGCUUAUUUGCACAAGUGGUACCUCACGUAUCCAGUCUGUGUGGAAACAGGACCUAAUGUUUGGUUAUUGAUGGCUACAUCCUCAUUUCUACCUUUGGCUGUGGAAUAUGUCCUUUCCAUCAUCUAUAGUGGGUCUUUAAGGUCCUCCGCUUUUACAUUGGAGCUUUCCUUCUUUAUAACUUGGCUAUAUCACCAUUGUGCACCUCUUGUACAUCUGCUCUGACACGACCCGUCCCGAUCACCCUAAUGGAUUCGACACGUGUCGUGCAUCGAUGGUAGAUACCAGCUAAAUGCCGGACCCACCACCAAGGCAAACUUGACAUGCUUUGACUGUAAUAAUUUUAUAAAAAUUUUGGCAGAGUUUCCUCUGAAAAAUGGACUAAAACCACCUGAGAAUAAAACCAAAAAUCCCAAACAUAUACACAUACUUUAAAAUAGGGUACACUAGCCCAUCAAAAUACUAAUUCUUCGAGGAGUUGUAUUGAAAAAGAAAUUUACCAUUUCAAAACAUACACAAAAUAUGCAAUGGGUAUAAGACUUAAUACAU